RNAcentral lists this long non-coding RNA (416 nucleotides) under Brachypodium distachyon (stiff brome). Its description in RNAcentral is "long non-coding RNA (BDIS_LNC004200)". Lineage: Eukaryota; Viridiplantae; Streptophyta; Magnoliopsida; Poales; Poaceae. The record is from RNAcentral.
CCCAAAGUAUGGUUUUUCAUUUUUACUAUAUAAAAAUGUAUCUAUAUUAUGAUGAUGACAUUUGAAUCAAUGAAAUGAGAUUAUGUCUGCACAUUUAUGUGUGUAAAUUCCCGACAACAGGAAUCUUUGCUGUGGAAGACGACGUGGGCACCUACACUAUUAAAGCUGUAGAUGAUCCAAGAACCCUGAACAAGACCCUGUAUCUGAGGCCACCAAGCAACACUUUGUCUCAUAACGAGCUUGUCUCACUCUGGGAGAAGAAAGUUGGUAAGACAUUUGAGAGGGUGUACAUCCCAGAAGACGAAGUCCUGAAGAAGAUUCAAGGUUAGAGUAAAGACAUGUUUUUCUUUGUCAAUUUUACUGAAUCCACUCGCUCAUGCUCACCUUUUCAUUUUCUUUUCCCCCAGAAAUGUGCU